This 942-nucleotide ribosomal RNA is filed under the name Inocybe fibrillosibrunnea. RNAcentral describes it as "LSU rRNA". It matches the Rfam family "Eukaryotic large subunit ribosomal RNA", at positions 36 to 965 of the family's 3401-position model. The record is from RNAcentral. Lineage: Eukaryota; Fungi; Basidiomycota; Agaricomycetes; Agaricales; Inocybaceae.
AAGCAUAUCAAUAAGCGGAGGAAAAGAAACUAACAAGGAUUCCCCUAGUAACUGCGAGUGAAGCGGGAAGAGCUCAAAUUUGAAAUCUGGCGGUCUUUGACUGUCCGAGUUGUAAUCUAGAGAAGUGUUACCUGUGCUGGCCCGUGUAAAAGUCUCCUGGAAUGGAGCAUCAUAGAGGGUGAGAAUCCCGUCUUUGACAUGGACUACCAGUGCGUUGUGGUGUGCUCUCAAAGAGUCGAGUUGUUUGGGAAUGCAGCUCAAAAUGGGUGGUAAAUGCCAUCUAAAGCUAAAUAUUGGCGAGAGACCGAUAGCGAACAAGUACCGUGAGGGAAAGAUGAAAAGAACUUUGGAAAGAGAGUUAAACAGUACGUGAAAUUGCUGAAAGGGAAACGCUUGAAGUCAGUCACGUUGGCUGGAAAUCAGCCCUGCUUCUGCAUGGUGUACUUUCUGGUUUGACGGGUCAGCAUCGAUUUUGACCGCUGGAUAAAGUCUCUGGGAAUGUGGCAUCUUUGGAUGUGUUAUAGCCCUGGGUCGCAUACGGUGGUUGGGAUUGAGGAACUCAGCACGCCGCAAGGCCAGGUUUCGACCAUGUUCGUGCUUAGGAUGCUGGCAUAAUGGCUUUAAUCGACCCGUCUUGAAACACGGACCAAGGAGUCUAACAUGCCUGCGAGUGUUUGGGUGGAAAACCCAUGCGCGCAAUGAAAGUGAAAGUUGAGAUCCCUUCAAGGGGAGCAUUGACGCCUGGACCAGACCUUCUGUGACGGAUCCACGGUAGAGCAUGCAUGUUGGGACCCGAAAGAUGGUGAACUAUGCCUGAAUAGGGUGAAGCCAGAGGAAACUCUGGUGGAGGCUCGUAGCGAUUCUGACGUGCAAAUCGAUCGUCAAAUUUGGGUAUAGGGGCGAAAGACUAAUCGAACCAUCUAGUAGCUGGUUCCUGCCGAA